ACGUAGGGGGCCAGCGUUGCUCGGAAUUACUGGGCGUAAAGGGUCCGUAGGCGGUGCGGCGAGUCGAUAGUGAAAUCUCUGGGCUUAACUCAGAGGCUGCUAACGAAACUGCCGUGCUAGAGUGUGAGAGAGGCGAGUGGAAUUACGGGUGUAGCGGUGAAAUGCGUAGAUAUCAAGAGGAACACCUGCGGCGAAGGCGGGUUGCUGGGCCGACACUGACGCUGAUGCGCGAAAGCCAGGGGAGCGAACGGGA
RNAcentral lists this ribosomal RNA (253 nucleotides) under uncultured prokaryote. Its description in RNAcentral is "partial 16S ribosomal RNA". It matches the Rfam family "Bacterial small subunit ribosomal RNA", at positions 525 to 777 of the family's 1533-position model. The record is from RNAcentral.